UUUUUGGCGAGUUUGAUCCUGGCUCAGGAUGAACGCUGGCGGCGUGCUUUACCAAUGUGAGUCGAACGGUACGGGUGAAGCUUCGGCUUCGCCACGACCGUGGCGUCCGGGUGCGUAACACGUAGCUAACCUACCGGCGGGUGGGGAAUAACCCCGGGAAACCGGGGACAAUACCGCAUGUGGUCGCGGGGUGAUGCCCGUGGACGAAAGCUGUGUCGGGGGAACCCGAUAUGGCGCCUGCUGAGGGGGCUGCGGCCGAUUAGCUAGUUGGUGGGGUAAUGGCCCACCAAGGCGAUGAUCGGUAGCGGGUCUGAGAGGAUGAUCCGCCACACGGGGACUGAGAUAUGGUCCCGAGCCCUACGGGGUUUAGCAUGGGGGAAUCUUGCGCAAUGGGCGAAAGCCUGACGCAGCAACGCCGCGUGGGGGAUGAAGGCCUUCGGGUCGUAAACCCCUUUUCUGGGGGACGCAACUGACGGUACCCCAGGAAUAAGCCUCGGCUAACUACGUGCCAGCAGCCGCGGUAAUACGUAGGAGGCGAGCGUUAUCCGGAAUUACUGGGCGUAGAGCGCUCGUAGGCGGCUCGGCAGGUGCCCUGUGAAAGCCCCCGGCUUACCCGGGGAGGGUCGGAGCAAACCACCGAGCUCGAGGCAGGCAGAGGGCCGCGGAACGUCCGGGGGAGUGGUGGAAUGCGUAGAUCCCGGACGGAACACCAGAGGCGAAGGCGGCGGUCUGGGUCUGACCUGACGCUGAGGAGCGACAGCGUGGGGAGCGAACAGGAUUAGAUACCCUGGUAGUCCACGCCGUAAACGAUGGACGCUAGGUGUGUGGAGGGCUCAACCCCUCUGUGCGCCGGAGCUAACGCGGUAAGCGUCCCGCCUGGGGACUACGGUCGCAAGACUAAAA
Molecule: ribosomal RNA, 903 nt
Filed under: Chloroflexota bacterium
Lineage: Bacteria; Bacillati; Chloroflexota
Description: bacterial SSU rRNA
Rfam family: Bacterial small subunit ribosomal RNA
Source: RNAcentral